This 2780-nucleotide long non-coding RNA is filed under the name Heterocephalus glaber (naked mole-rat). Its description in RNAcentral is "lncRNA (ENSHGLG00100046525.1)". The record is from RNAcentral. Lineage: Eukaryota; Metazoa; Chordata; Mammalia; Rodentia; Bathyergidae.
GGGAAACCACUGGCCCAGCUCUGGGUUGCACCCCUCAGGGUCUUUGAGAGGCAUCAGGCUGAGGCAGGGAGCAGAAAAAAGCCUGUUUCUUUCAGGAGAAGCAGCAGAAAGUUCUAGGCUGCUGGGCCAGCUCCUAAGGGCAGAGCGCCUCACCUCCAUUUUGGGACCCUCUCACCAGACCUAGGCCCACCACCAGGCCUCCCAGUAGGAAAUCUUGGUAAAGCCAAUGUGCACCAGGGACUCUGCUGGGUUUGCCGUGUGUGUCUUCAUUGAAUCCUCCUGGCAACUCAGAGUAGGGGCAGGGAUUACCUCCAUUUUACACAGCAGAAAAUCCAGGCUCUGAGAGGCAGAACAAUAACCCACCAAAACUAGUGAGAGACAAGAUUUUCAGGGAGUGGGACCAGGUUGAAGAGAAUGAGGCACUUGCCCCAGCUACAAAUUUUAAGCGGCACCCCAAAAAAACAUUAGUAAUCAAGAUAAAUAACUUCUUUGUGCUAUAUAUUUUAAAAAUUAAAAUUAAUGCGAAACCCAAAAGAAUGAAAAGCAUAUGUCCACCCAAAGCUUGUACAUGGGUGUUCACAGCAACAUCAUUCAGGAUAGCCAAAAAAAUGGGGGAAACCCCACAAAUAUCCAACAACAGAAGAAUGAAUAAAGUGUGACGUAUCCGUGCAGUAGGAUAUUAUUCAAGCCAGGUAUGUGGCACACACCUGUAAUCCCAGCUACUUGGAAGACUGAGGCAGGAGGAUCACAAGUUCAAGGCCAACCUGGGCAAUUUAGUGAGACACCCUGUCUCAAAACAAAACAUGAAAAAGGGCUGGGGAUGUAGCUCUGUGGUGGAGCACUUGCCUAGCGUGCACAAAGGCCUGGGUUAAUCCCCUGUACUUGCCACAAAAGAAAAGUAUAUUAUUUGAUCUUGAAACACACUGCAACAUGGAUGAACCUUGAAUACAUUGUGCCAGGUGAAAGAAGCCCAUCACAAGAGGCCUCACUGCAUUUACAUGAAAUGUCCAGAGUAGGCAAAUCCAUAGAGAAAAAGUAGCUCCAUGGCUCCCCCAGGGGCUGGUGGGAGAUGAGAAUGAACAAAAUAUCAGACUUUUAAAUAAAGACUGGUGUUCUAACCCUCACCCACCCCUUCCCUCCUCCAGCCAAGAGCCUGACAGCGUUCCUCGAGUGUGCGUGCCCUGAGCCAGGCACAGAGGGUGUACUCCAUUUCAGGGAGAAGCGGUGGUGCUGAGGGGCUGUCCCCUACACUGCACCAUUUCUGACGGGGAUGGAUCUUUCAGGAGUCUGCAGAGCCAGCAGCUGGAAAACUCCCCAAAAGCCAAGCCAGGAGGGCAGAGAAGAAAGUCGGGUGCAGCAAGACUGUAAUCCCAGGCCUAGAAGCUGAGCCAGGAGGAUCGAAGAGUUCAAGACCAUCCUGGUCUACAUAGUUAAACCCUGUCUCAAAAAUACAAAUCAAACCAGACGUGAUGGCACAUGGCUAUAACCCUAGGCCUGGGGAGCCUGAGGCAGUAGGAUCACCACAAGUUCAAGGCCAGUCUGACUCAAAUAGUGAGAGACUGUCUCAAAAAGAAAAAAAAAGUAAAUAAAAAAUUUAAAGGAGCAGGUGGGGCCGGGGAUUUAGCUCAGUGGUUUCGCUGCCUGCUGCGCAAGCAGAAAGAAAGAAAGAAGAAAGAAGGAAAGAAAGAAAGAAAAAAAGAAAGAAAGAAAGAAAGAAAGAAAGAAAGAAAGAAAGAAAGAAAGAAAGAGGCUAGGUGUGCUGGCACAGACUUAUAAUCUCAGCUACUCGGGAGGCUGAGGAGAAGGAUGGUAAGUUCUAGGUCAAACUGGGCAACUUAGCAAGACCCUGUCCCAAAAAAAGGGGUAGGGAGGGCUGGGGAUGUAUUUCAAUGGUAGAGCGCUCCUGGGCUGAAUCCCCAGUAUCACACACACACAAAGAUCUAAAUUUAAAAUAAUUUCAAAUUAUAUUUAAUUUCAAUUUUAUUAUUCAUAUAGUUUUAAAUAAACUUAAAAUAAUUGUAAGUAAAUAUCUUCACCUGUUUUUUAGUUUUGCAGUACUGGGGAUGAAACCCAGGGCCUCUCACACACUAAGAAAGUGCUCUACCACUGAACUACAUCCCCAGCCCCAUUUGUUUGUUUGUUUGUUUGCUUGUUUUUGAGACAAGGCCUGGCUAAAUUGCCCAAAUUUGCACUCCUCCUGCUUCAGCCUCCAGAAUAGCUAAGAUUGUAAGUAUGCACAACCAUGCCUGGCUCUUUUUACUUUUUACAUGGUGCUACUGGAAAUCUUUAAAUUACAUGUUAAUUUUAGUUUGUAUCUAGGGGUGAAGUUCAUUAGUAGAGCACUUGCCUCACAUACAAAGGCCCCGGGUUCAAUUUCCAGCACUAUGACAUAGUAAAAUAAAAUUAUAUACGUGGCUACAUUAUUGGGUACCAUUACCCUAUGAUUUACUUAUGUAUUAUUCUGACUGUUUAUAACCUUACUUUCUUGUGCUAGAAUGUUAGCCCCACCAGGCAUGGUGGCACACACCUGUAAUCCCAGCACUUAGAAGGCUGAGGCAGGAGGAUCGCCUGUGAGUUUGAGGCCAGCCUGGCCUACACGGUGAGUUCAAGGCCAGGUUGAACUGCAUAGCGAGACCCUGUUUCAAAAAAAAAAAAAGAAGAAGAAGGUCAGCCCCACAAGGAAAGGGCUUUUUUCUGCCUUGUUCACUGCUAUAUCCCCAUGGCCUAGUGCAUUGCCUCAUGUGUACAUAGUAGAUGCUCAAUAAAUAUUCGUUAAAUGA